This 465-nucleotide ribosomal RNA is filed under the name uncultured bacterium. Its description in RNAcentral is "partial 16S ribosomal RNA". It matches the Rfam family "Bacterial small subunit ribosomal RNA", at positions 28 to 507 of the family's 1533-position model. The record is from RNAcentral.
GACGAACGCUGGCGGCGUGCUUAACACAUGCAAGUCGAACGGAAAGGCCCCUUUGGGGGUACUCGAGUGGCGAACGGGUGAGUAACACGUGAGUAACCUGCCCUUGACUUCGGGAUAACUUCAGGAAACUGGGGCUAAUACCGGAUAGGAAUCCUUGCUGCAUGGUGGGGGUUGGAAAGCUUCGGCGGUUUUGGAUGGACUCGCGGCUUAUCAGCUUGUUGGUGGGGUAGUGGCUUACCAAGGCUUUGACGGGUAGCCGGCCUGAGAGGGCGACCGGCCACAUUGGGACUGAGAUACGGCCCAGACUCCUACGGGAGGCAGCAGUGGGGAAGAUUGCACAAUGGGCGGGAGCCUGAUGCAGCAACGCCGCGUGCGGGAUGACGGCCUUCGGGUUGUAAACCGCUUUCAGCAGGGGCGAAGCUUGUGGUGACGGUACCUGCAGAAGAAGCACCGGCUAACUACGUG